ACCCUAGGGGUAGUGGGACAAUAAUUUGCGACAGUACCUAUCAACUAAAGUGUUUGUUACUUCCUUGUUGGCUCUCAAUAUCCUGGAUAUGCAAGAGCAUUCAAAGGUUGAGAGGUUC
Molecule: ribosomal RNA, 118 nt
Filed under: Gloeochaete wittrockiana
Lineage: Eukaryota; Glaucocystophyceae; Gloeochaetales; Gloeochaetaceae
Description: partial Archaeal large subunit ribosomal RNA
Source: RNAcentral